Molecule: ribosomal RNA, 497 nt
Filed under: uncultured bacterium
Lineage: Bacteria
Description: partial 16S ribosomal RNA
Rfam family: Bacterial small subunit ribosomal RNA
Source: RNAcentral
GAUGAACGCUGGCGGCGUGCCUAAUACAUGCAAUUCGAGCGAACAGACGAGGAGCUUGCUCCUCUGACGUUAGCGGCGGACGGGUUAGUAACACGUUGAUAACCUACCUAUAAGACUGGGAUAACUUCGGGAAACCGGAGCUAAUACCGGAUAAUAUAUUGAACCGCAUGGUUCAAUAGUGAAAGACGGUUUUGCUGUCACUUAUAGAUGGAUCCGCGCCGCAUUAGCUAGUUGGUAAGGUAACGGCUUACCAAGGCAACUAUGCGUAGCCGACCUGAGAGGGUGAUCGGCCACACUGGAACUGAGACACGGUCCAGACUCCUACGGGAGGCAGCAGUAGGGAAUCUUCCGCAAUGGGCGAAAGCCUGACGGAGCAACGCCGCGUGAGUGAUGAAGGUCUUCGGAUCGUAAAACUCUGUUAUUAGGGAAGAACAAAUGUGUAAGUAACUAUGCACGUCUUGACGGUACCUAAUCAGAAAGCCACGGCUAACUACGUG